UACGUAGGGUGCGAGCGUUGUCCGGAAUUAUUGGGCGUAAAGAGCUCGUAGGCGGUCUGUCGCGUCGAUCGUGAAAACUUGGGGCUUAACCCUGAGCUUGCGGUCGAUACGGGCAUGACUGGAGUUCGGCAGGGGAGACUGGAAUUCCUGGUGUAGCGGUGAAAUGCGCAGAUAUCAGGAGGAACACCGGUGGCGAAGGCGGGUCUCUGGGCCGUUACUGACGCUGAGGCGCGAAAGCCAGGGGAGCGAACAGG
Molecule: ribosomal RNA, 254 nt
Filed under: uncultured bacterium
Lineage: Bacteria
Description: partial 16S ribosomal RNA
Rfam family: Bacterial small subunit ribosomal RNA
Source: RNAcentral